AGCGAACGCUGGCGGCAGGCCUAACACAUGCAAGUCGAACGAACUCUUCGGAGUUAGUGGCGGACGGGUGAGUAACACGUGGGAACGUGCCUUUUGGUUCGGAAUAACUCAGGGAAACUUGUGCUAAUACCGAAUGUGCCCUUCGGGGGAAAGAUUUAUCGCCAUUAGAGCGGCCCGCGUCUGAUUAGCUAGUUGGUGAGGUAACGGCUCACCAAGGCGACGAUCAGUAGCUGGUCUGAGAGGAUGACCAGCCACACUGGGACUGAGACACGGCCCAGACUCCUACGGGAGGCAGCAGUGGGGAAUCUUGCGCAAUGGGCGAGAGCCUGACGCAGCCAUGCCGCGUGAAUGAUGAAGGUCUUAGGAUUGUAAAAUUCUUUCACCGGGGACGAUAAUGACGGUACCCGGAGAAGAAGCCCCGGCUAACUUCGUG
RNAcentral lists this ribosomal RNA (433 nucleotides) under uncultured bacterium. Its description in RNAcentral is "partial 16S ribosomal RNA". It matches the Rfam family "Bacterial small subunit ribosomal RNA", at positions 29 to 507 of the family's 1533-position model. The record is from RNAcentral.